Molecule: long non-coding RNA, 1283 nt
Organism: Scaptodrosophila lebanonensis
Lineage: Eukaryota; Metazoa; Arthropoda; Insecta; Diptera; Drosophilidae
Exons: 3
Source: RefSeq, a predicted model, not a curated record
UGACCUGUUCCAAUCACCUAUUUUGUUAUAUGGCAGGGCUGCUGUCUUCCUGUUGGAUGUUGCUGCAACGCGGGACAAAUAUUGAUUUAUUGCGGAUAUAUUUAUCCCAACGAUACUUCUCAAACGCCUUGAUGCAGGAAAUUCGGACCCAACCUCGCUACAAAUAGACAAACAUUCAUACACCCGGAUCUCUCAUCCCUGUAACCAAUGUUCGCAAAAUUAUGGACACACGCGACCUCGGAAGGGACGCCCAUACUCCUUACGCUUGGUGUUACAUCCUCCUCCAUUAAUUCCUGACGUUCGCAAAUUUAUUAAUGCAUCAUGGUCCGGACAAUUCGUCGACAUUUCUGCUUCUCGUUAGUUAAAAAAAAAAACCUACAAAAUCGUUUCUUUUGGCACAUCAUCCCCGGACUUGGACAUCAUUCAGCCUCGGAACUUCUGCAGCACUAACUUAGAAUCUACUUUAAUUUAUAAACAUUGUUCCAUUGUCAUAGUCUAUAAGCCCACAUUUAUUGUUACUAGCAACGUAUACAUACAUAUUAUUUUGUUAAACUUACACCUCACACUUAAAAAAAAGCCUGAGCCACACGCAUUUCAAAAUAUUGUCUUAUAUAAUUUUCAAAAUGAAACAAUUUAAUUUUUCAUUUCAAUGUAAUAGCUUUUAUUUUUUACUUUAUAAACUACAUUUACUAUUCUUAAGUCCAAAAAUUUUGUCUUAUAUAUUUUGUUAAAAUUCUUUAAAAAUAUCACAUUUACUUAUCACACUAAAUUUAAAUAUUGCACAUCAUAUCACACAAAUUUAAUUAUUUUUUAUAUACUUUUAUACCACUAUUUGUGCAACAUUCACAAUUUAACUUGCAUUUGCUUACCACAUUAUACUUAUAUAUUGCACACCAUAUCACAUAAAUUUAAUUAUAUAUAUACCAUAUUAUACUACUUUUGCACAACAUUCAUAAAUCUAACAUGUACUGCUUAUCACAUAGUAAUCAAAUAUUGCACAUUGUAUCAUUUAAAUUUAACUACAUUUAUACUAUACUAUUAUGCAACUAUGUACAACACUCACAAACUUAAUGUACCAUUUGGUGCCCCCAAGAGGGAAGGGGUACCUAAUCAUCACUGCUUCGGAUUCUCCCCGCAUUCCCUCCACUCUUCUAAAAGGGAAGGAUUAAGACAAAUUUAAAUGUUGCUGCCUCCUAUCACUGCACACUCUUGGCUGUAAUUGGGAUUAGUAUUUAAUUUUAGAUUAAGUUUGUUGUACCCAUUUCUCGGCCUUGUGCGCCAUA